RNAcentral lists this ribosomal RNA (2775 nucleotides) under Salmonella enterica. RNAcentral's name for it is "bacterial LSU rRNA". It matches the Rfam family "Bacterial large subunit ribosomal RNA". The record is from RNAcentral. Lineage: Bacteria; Pseudomonadati; Pseudomonadota; Gammaproteobacteria; Enterobacterales; Enterobacteriaceae.
AGCGUACACGGUGGAUGCCCUGGCAGUCAGAGGCGAUGAAGGGCGUGCUAAUCUGCGAUAAGCGCCGGUAAGGUGAUAUGAACCGUUAUAACCGGCGAUACCCGAAUGGGGAAACCCAGUGUGACUCGUCACACUAUCAUUAACUGAAUCCAUAGGUUAAUGAGGCGAACCGGGGGAACUGAAACAUCUAAGUACCCCGAGGAAAAGAAAUCAACCGAGAUUCCCCCAGUAGCGGCGAGCGAACGGGGAGGAGCCCAGAGCCUGAAUCAGCAUGUGUGUUAGUGGAAGCGUCUGGAAAGGCGCGCGAUACAGGGUGACAGCCCCGUACACAAAAGCGCAUGUGCUGUGAGCUCGAUGAGUAGGGCGGGACACGUGGUAUCCUGUCUGAAUAUGGGGGGACCAUCCUCCAAGGCUAAAUACUCCUGACUGACCGAUAGUGAACCAGUACCGUGAGGGAAAGGCGAAAAGAACCCCGGCGAGGGGAGUGAAAAAGAACCUGAAACCGUGUACGUACAAGCAGUGGGAGCACCCUUUGGGGUGUGACUGCGUACCUUUUGUAUAAUGGGUCAGCGACUUAUAUUCUGUAGCAAGGUUAACCGAAUAGGGGAGCCGGAGGGAAACCGAGUCUUAAUUGGGCGUUAAGUUGCAGGGUAUAGACCCGAAACCCGGUGAUCUAGCCAUGGGCAGGUUGAAGGUUGGGUAACACUAACUGGAGGACCGAACCGACUAAUGUUGAAAAAUUAGCGGAUGACCUGUGGCUGGGGGUGAAAGGCCAAUCAAACCGGGAGAUAGCUGGUUCUCCCCGAAAGCUAUUUAGGUAGCGCCUCGUGAAUUCAUCUCCGGGGGUAGAGCACUGUUUCGGCUAGGGGGCCAUCCCGGCUUACCAACCCGAUGCAAACUGCGAAUACCGGAGAAUGUUAUCACGGGAGACACACGGCGGGUGCUAACGUCCGUCGUGAAGAGGGAAACAACCCAGACCGCCAGCUAAGGUCCCAAAGUCAUGGUUAAGUGGGAAACGAUGUGGGAAGGCCCAGACAGCCAGGAUGUUGGCUUAGAAGCAGCCAUCAUUUAAAGAAAGCGUAAUAGCUCACUGGUCGAGUCGGCCUGCGCGGAAGAUGUAACGGGGCUAAACCAUGCACCGAAGCUGCGGCAGCGACACUCAUGUGUUGUUGGGUAGGGGAGCGUUCUGUAAGCCUGUGAAGGUGGCCUGUGAGGGUUGCUGGAGGUAUCAGAAGUGCGAAUGCUGACAUAAGUAACGAUAAAGCGGGUGAAAAGCCCGCUCGCCGGAAGACCAAGGGUUCCUGUCCAACGUUAAUCGGGGCAGGGUGAGUCGACCCCUAAGGCGAGGCCGAAAGGCGUAGUCGAUGGGAAACGGGUUAAUAUUCCCGUACUUGGUGUUACUGCGAAGGGGGGACGGAGAAGGCUAUGUUGGCCGGGCGACGGUUGUCCCGGUUUAAGCGUGUAGGUGUGUGUUCCAGGUAAAUCCGGUUCACUUUAACACUGAGGCGUGACGACGAGGCACUACGGUGCUGAAGCAACAAAUGCCCUGCUUCCAGGAAAAGCCUCUAAGCAUCAGGUAACAUCAAAUCGUACCCCAAACCGACACAGGUGGUCAGGUAGAGAAUACCAAGGCGCUUGAGAGAACUCGGGUGAAGGAACUAGGCAAAAUGGUGCCGUAACUUCGGGAGAAGGCACGCUGACACGUAGGUGAAGUGAUUUACUCACGGAGCUGAAGUCAGUCGAAGAUACCAGCUGGCUGCAACUGUUUAUUAAAAACACAGCACUGUGCAAACACGAAAGUGGACGUAUACGGUGUGACGCCUGCCCGGUGCCGGAAGGUUAAUUGAUGGGGUCAGCGCAAGCGAAGCUCCUGAUCGAAGCCCCGGUAAACGGCGGCCGUAACUAUAACGGUCCUAAGGUAGCGAAAUUCCUUGUCGGGUAAGUUCCGACCUGCACGAAUGGCGUAAUGAUGGCCAGGCUGUCUCCACCCGAGACUCAGUGAAAUUGAACUCGCUGUGAAGAUGCAGUGUACCCGCGGCAAGACGGAAAGACCCCGUGAACCUUUACUAUAGCUUGACACUGAACAUUGAGCCUUGAUGUGUAGGAUAGGUGGGAGGCUUUGAAGUGUGGACGCCAGUCUGCAUGGAGCCGACCUUGAAAUACCACCCUUUAAUGUUUGAUGUUCUAACGUGGACCCGUGAUCCGGGUUGCGGACAGUGUCUGGUGGGUAGUUUGACUGGGGCGGUCUCCUCCUAAAGAGUAACGGAGGAGCACGAAGGUUGGCUAAUCCUGGUCGGACAUCAGGAGGUUAGUGCAAUGGCAUAAGCCAGCUUGACUGCGAGCGUGACGGCGCGAGCAGGUGCGAAAGCAGGUCAUAGUGAUCCGGUGGUUCUGAAUGGAAGGGCCAUCGCUCAACGGAUAAAAGGUACUCCGGGGAUAACAGGCUGAUACCGCCCAAGAGUUCAUAUCGACGGCGGUGUUUGGCACCUCGAUGUCGGCUCAUCACAUCCUGGGGCUGAAGUAGGUCCCAAGGGUAUGGCUGUUCGCCAUUUAAAGUGGUACGCGAGCUGGGUUUAGAACGUCGUGAGACAGUUCGGUCCCUAUCUGCCGUGGGCGCUGGAGAACUGAGGGGGGCUGCUCCUAGUACGAGAGGACCGGAGUGGACGCAUCACUGGUGUUCGGGUUGUCAUGCCAAUGGCACUGCCCGGUAGCUAAAUGCGGAAGAGAUAAGUGCUGAAAGCAUCUAAGCACGAAACUUGCCCCGAGAUGAGUUCU